GGCGGACGGGUUAGUAACGCGUGGGAAUAUACCCUUUGGUACGGAAUAGCCUCUGGAAACGGAGAGUAAUACCGUAUGAGCCCUUCGGGGGAAAGAUUUAUCGCCAAAGGAUUAGCCCGCGUUAGAUUAGGUAGUUGGUGGGGUAAUGGCCUACCAAGCCUACGAUCUAUAGCUGGUUUUAGAGGAUGAUCAGCAACACUGGGACUGAGACACGGCCCAGACUCCUACGGGAGGCAGCAGUGGGGAAUCUUGGACAAUGGGGGCAACCCUGAUCCAGCCAUGCCGCGUGAGUGAUGAAGGCCUUAGGGUCGUAAAGCUCUUUCGCCUGUGAAGAUAAUGACGGUAGCAGGUAAAGAAACCCCGGCUAACUCCGUGCCAGCAGCCGCGGUAAUACGGAGGGGGUUAGCGUUGUUCGGAAUUACUGGGCGUAAAGCGCACGUAGGCGGACUGGAAAGUUGGGGGUGAAAUCCCGGGGCUCAACCCCGGAACUGCCUCCAAAACUAUCAGUCUAGAGUUCGAGAGAGGUGAGUGGAAUUCCGAGUGUAGAGGUGAAAUUCGUAGAUAUUCGGAGGAACACCAGUGGCGAAGGCGGC
RNAcentral lists this ribosomal RNA (593 nucleotides) under bacterium B_D75_7. Its description in RNAcentral is "bacterial SSU rRNA". It matches the Rfam family "Bacterial small subunit ribosomal RNA", at positions 97 to 725 of the family's 1533-position model. The record is from RNAcentral.